RNAcentral lists this ribosomal RNA (454 nucleotides) under uncultured bacterium. RNAcentral describes it as "partial 16S ribosomal RNA". It matches the Rfam family "Bacterial small subunit ribosomal RNA", at positions 28 to 507 of the family's 1533-position model. The record is from RNAcentral.
GAUGAACGCUGACCGAAUGCUUAACACAUGCAAGUCUACUUGAACUUCGGUUUGGGUGGCGGACGGGUGAGUAACGCGUAAAGAACUUGCCUCACAGUUAGGGACAACAUUUGGAAACGAAUGCUAAUACCUGAUAUUAUGAUUUUAGGGCAUCCUAGGAUUAUGAAAGCUAUAUGUGCUGUGAGAGAGCUUUGCGUCCCAUUAGCUAGUUGGAGAGGUAACGGCUCACCAAGGCGAUGAUGGGUAGCCGGCCUGAGAGGGUGAACGGCCACAAGGGGACUGAGACACGGCCCUUACUCCUACGGGAGGCAGCAGUGGGGAAUAUGGGACAAGGGACCAAAAGUCUGAUCCAGCAAUUCUGUGUGCACGAUGACGUUUUUCGGAAUGUAAAGUGCUUUCAGUUGGGAAGAAAAAAAUGACGGUACCAACAGAAGAAGUGACGGCUAAAUACGUG